Small nuclear RNA from Artibeus jamaicensis (Jamaican fruit-eating bat), 161 nucleotides. RefSeq annotates it as U1 spliceosomal RNA. The record is from RefSeq and is a predicted model, not a curated record. The transcript has a single exon. Lineage: Eukaryota; Metazoa; Chordata; Mammalia; Chiroptera; Phyllostomidae.
AUACCUACCUGGCAGGGGAGAUACCACGACCACGAAGGUGGUUUUCCCAGGAUGAAGCUGAUCCAUUGUACUCUGGGCGUGCUGACCCCUGAGAUUUCUCCAGACGUGGGAAACUCAAUGCAGAAUUUGUGGUAGUGGGGGGAUGCAUUUGCACUCUUCCC